RNAcentral lists this ribosomal RNA (465 nucleotides) under uncultured bacterium. RNAcentral describes it as "partial 16S ribosomal RNA". It matches the Rfam family "Bacterial small subunit ribosomal RNA", at positions 28 to 507 of the family's 1533-position model. The record is from RNAcentral.
GACGAACGCUGGCGGCGUGCUUAACACAUGCAAGUCGUACGGUAAGGCCCUUUCGGGGGUACACGAGUGGCGAACGGGUGAGUAACACGUGAGUAACCUGCCCACAACUUUGGGAUAACGCUAGGAAACUGGUGCUAAUACUGGAUAUGUGCUCCUGCUGCAUGGUGGGGGUUGGAAAGCUCCGGCGGUUGUGGAUGGACUCGCGGCCUAUCAGCUUGUUGGUGGGGUAGUGGCCUACCAAGGCGGCGACGGGUAGCCGGCCUGAGAGGGUGACCGGCCACAUUGGGGCUGAGAUACGGCCCAGACUCCUACGGGAGGCAGCAGUGGGGAAUAUUGCACAAUGGGCGCAAGCCUGAUGCAGCAACGCCGCGUGCGGGAUGACGGCCUUCGGGUUGGAAACCGCUUUCAGCAGGGACGAAGCUUUUUGUGACGGUACCUGCAGAAGAAGCACCGGCUAACUACGUG